Molecule: ribosomal RNA, 497 nt
Filed under: uncultured bacterium
Lineage: Bacteria
Description: partial 16S ribosomal RNA
Rfam family: Bacterial small subunit ribosomal RNA
Source: RNAcentral
GAUGAACGCUGGCGGCGUGCCUAAUACAUGCAAGUCGAGCGAACAGACGAGGAGCUUGCUCCUCUGACGUUAGCGGCGGACGGGUGAGUAACACGUGGAUAACCUACCUAUAAGACUGGGAUAACUUCGGGAAACCGGAGCUAAUACCGGAUAAUAUAUUGAACCGCAUGGUUCAAUAGUGAAAGACGGUUUUGCUGUCACUUAUAGAUGGAUCCGCGCCGCAUUAGCUAGUUGGUAAGGUAACGGCUUACCAAGGCAACGAGGCGUAGCCGACCUGAGAGGGUGAUCGCCCACACUGGAACUGAGACACGGUCCAGACUCCUACGGGAGGCAGCAGUAGGGAAUCUUCCGCAAUGGGCGAAAGCUUGACGGAGCAACGCCGCGUGAGUGAUGAAGGUCUUCGGAUCGUAAAACUCUGUUAUUAGGGAAGAACAAAUGUGUAAGUAACUAUGCACGUCUUGACGGUACCUAAUCAGAAAGCCACGGCUAACUACGUG